CCUACGGGGGGCAGCAGUGGGGAAUCUUGCGCAAUGGGCGAAAGCCUGACGCAGCGACGCCGCGUGUGGGAUGAAGGUCUUCGGAUCGUAAACCACUGUCGCGAGGGACGAAUUCAUUGACGGUACCUCGAAAGGAAGCACCGGCUAACUCUGUGCCAGCAGCCGCGGUAAUACAGAGGGUGCGAGCGUUGUCCGGAAUCACUGGGCGUAAAGGGCGCGUAGGUGGCUCUGUAAGUCGGGGGUGAAAUGCUGCGGCUCAACCGCAGCGCUGCCUUCGAGACUGCAGGGCUUGAGCACGGUAGAGGCCGAUGGAAUUCCCGGUGUAGCGGUGGAAUGCGUAGAGAUCGGGAAGAACACCAAUGGCGAAGGCAGUCGGCUGGGCCGUUGCUGACACUGAGGCGCGACAGCGUGGGGAGCAAACAGGAUUAGAUACCCCAGUAGUC
RNAcentral lists this ribosomal RNA (443 nucleotides) under uncultured bacterium. RNAcentral's name for it is "bacterial SSU rRNA". It matches the Rfam family "Bacterial small subunit ribosomal RNA", at positions 338 to 795 of the family's 1533-position model. The record is from RNAcentral.